AUCUGCCUGGUAGUGGGGGACAACGUUUCGAAAGGAACGCUAAUACCGCAUACGCCCUACGGGGGAAAGCAGGGGACCUUCGGGCCUUGCGCUAUCAGAUGAGCCUAGGUCGGAUUAGCUAGUUGGUGAGGUAAUGGCUCACCAAGGCGACGAUCCGUAACUGGUCUGAGAGGAUGAUCAGUCACACUGGAACUGAGACACGGUCCAGACUCCUACGGGAGGCAGCAGUGGGGAAUAUUGGACAAUGGGCGAAAGCCUGAUCCAGCCAUGCCGCGUGUGUGAAGAAGGUCUUCGGAUUGUAAAGCACUUUAAGUUGGGAGGAAGGGUACUUACCUAAUACGUGAGUAUUUUGACGUUACCGACAGAAUAAGCACCGGCUAACUCUGUGCCAGCAGCCGCGGUAAUACAGAGGGUGCAAGCGUUAAUCGGAAUUACUGGGCGUAAAGCGCGCGUAGGUGGUUCGUUAAGUUGGAUGUGAAAUCCCCGGGCUCAACCUGGGAACUGCAUCCAAAACUGGCGAGCUAGAGUAGGGCAGAGGGUGGUGGAAUUUCCUGUGUAGCGGUGAAAUGCGUAGAUAUAGGAAGGAACACCAGUGGCGAAGGCGACCACCUGGGCUCAUACUGACACUGAGGUGCGAAAGCGUGGGGAGCAAACAGGAUUAGAUACCCUGGUAGUCCACGCCGUAAACGAUGUCAACUAGCCGUUGGAAUCCUUGAGAUUUUAGUGGCGCAGCUAACGCAUUAAGUUGACCGCCUGGGGAGUACGGCCGCAAGGUUAAAACUCAA
RNAcentral lists this ribosomal RNA (785 nucleotides) under Pseudomonas sp. RNAcentral's name for it is "bacterial SSU rRNA". It matches the Rfam family "Bacterial small subunit ribosomal RNA", at positions 124 to 904 of the family's 1533-position model. The record is from RNAcentral. Lineage: Bacteria; Pseudomonadati; Pseudomonadota; Gammaproteobacteria; Pseudomonadales; Pseudomonadaceae.